RNAcentral lists this unclassified non-coding RNA (296 nucleotides) under uncultured Chaetomium. Its description in RNAcentral is "partial contains 5.8S ribosomal RNA, internal transcribed spacer 2, and large subunit ribosomal RNA". The stretch from base 1 to 102 matches the Rfam family "5.8S ribosomal RNA", at positions 53 to 154 of the family's 154-position model. Lineage: Eukaryota; Fungi; Ascomycota; Sordariomycetes; Sordariales; Chaetomiaceae. The record is from RNAcentral.
AUGCGAUAAGUAAUGCGAAUUGCAGAAUUCAGUGAAUCAUCGAAUCUUUGAACGCACAUUGCGCCCGCCAGUAUUCUGGCGGGCAUGCCUGUUCGAGCGUCAUUUCAACCAUCAAGCCCCGGGCUUGUGUUGGGGACCUGCGGCUGCCGCAGGCCCUGAAAUGCAGUGGCGGGCUCGCUGUCACUCCGAGCGUAGUAGUUACAUCUCGCUCUGGGCGUGCUGCGGGUUCCGGCCGUUAAAAGCCUUAUUUACCCAAGGUUGACCUCGGAUCAGGUAGGAAGACCCGCUGAACUUAA